RNAcentral lists this long non-coding RNA (951 nucleotides) under Cinara cedri. Lineage: Eukaryota; Metazoa; Arthropoda; Insecta; Hemiptera; Aphididae. The record is from RNAcentral.
CGGUUAAUCACAUCAGCCAAUAUUCGAACCAUAGACGUUAUCGCAAACGAACACGCCACAUAUCGCCUCAUCGUACAUCAAUAACGCCUUUCGCGCGGGUCCCUAUAAAAAGAAGUCCCCGAUCGUGAUUUCAGCAUAACACAUUUUCGUGAGAUUCUAUAUUCUCUGGUGAGUAAAUGAAACGAACAUUUUUCAAACAUAACUGGUGUGAGCAAAAUUAACAGGUUUUUAUUUUUGUUUUUUUGUUUAUACUGAUAGCCUUUUACUUCUUCACUCUACAAAAACCUACCAAAAUCAUCAAAAAUGGGCGCUGAAAAGGUAUCCAUGAACAUCGUCGUCGUCGGACAGGUCCAAGCCUCCAAAGCCGCCAAAAUCGUAGCCAAGGCCGCACCCGUCGCCAGCCAAUUGAUGGUAAGUGUGACCGCAAGUUUAUAUAUUUUGUUAGAUUUCUUUUAUAUACUAUUUGGCUAAAUUAUAAUUUUAUACGUAUUGAACUAAUUCGCGAUUUGUUUACUAAAUAAUUACCGACAAUCGCAAUAAAAACAAAUUUAAUACUAUUUUAUCAAAUCAUUGACGUAUUUAAGAUUAGGGUUCUGAAAUUGCAUGAAAUUUAUAUUUCGACGAUAAAUUAAAUAUAAUUGAUUUUUAAAUUUUUAUCAUUAAUAGUAACUUUACUUGUACCCUGUUACUUAAAAUAGUAAUAUUUUUAUUUAUUUUAACUAUUUCGAUUAAAAAUAAUAUUAAUAAAGAAGAUAGCCAUUGUAUUAUUUAUUUCGAUUUUGUGUAAUCGUAAUGUUGUUUAUUUGUUUCAGAACUGUUAACUCAUGUAGUCCAACAAUCAAAAAAUCAAAAAUGCCAUAGCCCAUACAAUUAUACAUAAUAUUGUGUGAACGUUUCAUUAAUAUUAUGUAUAUUUAUAUCACAAAAUAAACUUGCUCUUUCCGUUAUUAA